This 464-nucleotide ribosomal RNA is filed under the name uncultured bacterium. RNAcentral's name for it is "bacterial SSU rRNA". It matches the Rfam family "Bacterial small subunit ribosomal RNA", at positions 28 to 507 of the family's 1533-position model. The record is from RNAcentral.
GACGAACGCUGGCGGCGUGCUUAACACAUGCAAGUCGAGCGAUGAAAUUCUCUUCGGAGAAUGGAUUAGCGGCGGACGGGUGAGUAACACGUGGGUAACCUGCCUUAUAGUGGGGGAUAGCCUUUCGAAAGGAAGAUUAAUACCGCAUAAUAUUGUAGUUUCGCAUGAAACAACAAUUAAAGAUUUAUCGCUAUAAGAUGGACCCGCGGCGCAUUAGCUAGUUGGUGGGGUAACGGCCUACCAAGGCGACGAUGCGUAGCCGACCUGAGAGGGUGAUCGGCCACAUUGGGACUGAGACACGGCCCAGACUCCUACGGGAGGCAGCAGUGGGGAAUAUUGCACAAUGGGCGAAAGCCUGAUGCAGCAACGCCGCGUGAAGGAAGAAGGUCUUCGGAUCGUAAACUUCUGUCCUGGGGGAAGAAGAACUGACGGUACCCUUGGAGGAAGCCCCGGCUAACUACGUG